This 215-nucleotide ribosomal RNA is filed under the name uncultured bacterium. Its description in RNAcentral is "partial 16S ribosomal RNA". It matches the Rfam family "Bacterial small subunit ribosomal RNA", at positions 118 to 335 of the family's 1533-position model. The record is from RNAcentral.
UGAGCAAUCUGCCCUUCUCUUUGGAAUAAGCGUUGGAAACGACGUCUAAUGCCGAAUACGACCUCCUUUCGCAUGAUCGGAGGUGGAAAGCUCCGGCGGAGAAGGAUGAGCUCGCGGCCUAUCAGCUAGUUGGUGAGGUAACGGCUCACCAAGGCUACGAUCAGUAGCUGGUCUGAGAGGAUGAUCAGCCACACUGGGACUGAGACACCGGCAGA